This 781-nucleotide transfer RNA is filed under the name Bradyrhizobium japonicum. RNAcentral's name for it is "16S-23S ribosomal RNA intergenic spacer". The stretch from base 194 to 267 matches the Rfam family "tRNA". Lineage: Bacteria; Pseudomonadati; Pseudomonadota; Alphaproteobacteria; Hyphomicrobiales; Nitrobacteraceae. The record is from RNAcentral.
CUAAGGAUGAUCCUUCAGUCUAGCUUCGGCUAGCUAUCGGAUCGUUUUAGAAACAUCAGUGGCCAACGGUCGUCAGGAUCGUUGAGCUGCAUUGGCGGGAUUUCGCCGUCUUCGUUUCUCUUUCUUCGCGGACGAACACGCGCUGGGGCUGCAACCUUGCAGGAUCCCUGGUCCUUGACUGGAUAUGCGUUAGGGGCUUGUAGCUCAGUUGGUUAGAGCGCGCGCUUGAUAAGCGUGAGGUCGGAAGUUCAAGUCUUCCCAGGCCCACCACUUUCAUCGAGUGAGCAUUCGUCUUCUGGUUACGGGGCCAUAGCUCAGCUGGGAGAGCGCGUGCUUUGCAAGCAUGAGGUCGUCGGUUCGAUCCCGUCUGGCUCCACCAGAUGGUUUGAUCACCGACAACUCAACCGUCGUCCGCGAAACAUCACUUCGCACUUACUAGUCCGGAUGGACAGUGAGCUGCGGGAUUUCUGACAUCGUAAAGAGGAGAUCGAUCCGAGUUGGAUCGUGCAGAAGAUUUCUGCGCGAUACUUCAUUAUCUCCGGAUCAUUUCGGCGCUCGUGCGUCUUUCAGGGUAGCUCACAAGGCUGCGUUUGAGAGACAAACGAGUUGUAAAUGAUCCUUUUAGCGAAGCUUGACCGCCUCGCUAUCGGAACGAUCUUACGAAGCAAGCUGGUCUUUCUAAUCAUUGUCCGGCUGCAGAUAGCGUUCAUCGAGGGCGCGUGCCGCAAGGUAAUUCUGCAGACAACAUUCUGCCGAGUGUGUGGACAUUGAUAAUGAGAGC